RNAcentral lists this ribosomal RNA (615 nucleotides) under Gephyromantis marokoroko (rugose forest frog). RNAcentral's name for it is "partial 16S ribosomal RNA". The stretch from base 1 to 422 matches the Rfam family "Bacterial large subunit ribosomal RNA", at positions 687 to 1300 of the family's 2925-position model. The record is from RNAcentral. Lineage: Eukaryota; Metazoa; Chordata; Amphibia; Anura; Mantellidae.
CAAGCAAAAUGAAUUAUAGUUUGAAUCCCCGAAACUAAGUGAGCUACUUCGAAACAGUCUUAAGAACAAACCCGUCUCUGUAGCAAUAGAGUGGGAUGAUUUCCAAGUAGAGGCGAUAAACCUACCGCACUUAGAGAUAGCUGGUUACUCAAGAAAAGAAUUUAAGUUCAACCUUAAGUUUAUUAGUUACAAAAAAACAAACAAAACUUAAGAGCUAUUCAAAUAAGGCACAGCUUGUUUGAAACAGGACACAACCUUUGACAUAGGGUAAUAUUUAAGAAUCGGUAUCAAGUGGGCCUAAAAGCAGCCACCUCCAAAAAGCGUCAAAGCUUAACACCUCCUCAAUUUAAAUUUCUCUAUACACCUUCAACCCAUCACUUAUAUUGAGUAAUUCCAUAAGCCUAUGGAAGAUAUAAUGCUAGAACUAGUAACAAGAAAACACUUUCUCCAAAAUAUAAGCCUAAGCCAUUAUUGACAUACUGCUGGCAAUUACCGCAAAUGAACACACUAUAGUAACUCAAACAAGAAAACCCUAUAACCCCUAACGUUAACCUUACACCAGAAUAUUUAUGGAAAGAUUAAAAGAAAAAGAAGGAACUCGGCAAAAUUCAACCC